RNAcentral lists this long non-coding RNA (1226 nucleotides) under Cavia porcellus (domestic guinea pig). RNAcentral describes it as "lncRNA (ENSCPOG00000035541.1)". The record is from RNAcentral. Lineage: Eukaryota; Metazoa; Chordata; Mammalia; Rodentia; Caviidae.
CGGGGUCUCCAAUCGCAGGCGGGGAUCCCAGCCACUGGCGAGCACCUCGCCCGUGGUACUGACCCCAUGCUCAUCCACCCGAGGUACGAGUCUGAGGGACAGACGCUCUCAGCCAGCCGCUUCUCCCGCAAACAGACUCCUCUGCCAGCAGGGGACAUAACGUGUUUUCCACCGCACUUUGCGCUGUGUGUAGCAACACGGGGAAGGCAUCGGCACGCGAAAUCACGCGAAAUGACCGAAAAGGCCGAGGAGUAUACGAGCCGAGUGGCACCGCUCCCCGGCCCACACGUCCUCCGCGGGAGAACUGCCUGCGUGCUACCCCGGCAGACUCUGAAAGAAGCUGAAGGUUUUACACUAUACUGCAAUGUACUGAAUAAAGCACUGCAAGGUGUAGGGAAAACAGCAAAAAAGGAUGUCUCAUGAUAUCAAAACGUGAGAGAAACCUCAGGUUUUUGAAAAAGAAUGUGAAUAUGGGCAGCUGAAAUAUUUCCCAAAUCUAAAAAUGCAUUUAGAAACUUUUGCAACAUUUGGAGACAAUCCUACAAGUUGUCAGGAAAGCUACAAGAAAUUUUUUUUAGCAUUGUAGCCACUGCAAAGCAGAAAUUUAGUAAUAGAUUUUUACAAUUCCAUGAGACAGAGACACGCCUGAGUUUUCUUACUUCUCCAGAUAAAGCCAAAUUUGAAGAACUGAAUUUUUCCUGCUUACAUAGGUUAGAUUUUGGAAAUCUGGAAAUGGAGCUAUUGGAAUUUCAAGAAAGCUCUAUCUGGAAAAAUAGAUUAUAUAUCCUGUGUGCAACAUUUGAGAAGACAGAGAAGACAGAGUAUGAAAGAAUGACAAAGGAUAGCACAGUCCACAGUCCUGAAAAUGAAAUCCUUAAAGUAUGGGAUUCUCUGCCAAGUAAUUGAAAGUCAGUGGAAGCACUUGGGAUUGCAUUUUUACUUUGGUUGUGUCAUUUUAUGCUUGUGAGCAGCUGUUUUCAGCUUGGAAUUACAUCAAAUCUGACACAAGAAACAGACUAAAGAUGACCUGAGUGCUGCAUAUACUGCUCUCAAACUAAGGAAGUAUGAGCCAAGCUUUGAUGAAUUAUCAGCAUAAAUACAAUAGCAAAGAUCACAUUAACUGCAAAAGCAUGCCACAUGCAAACUUUUACUUCCCAAUAAAAAGUUGUUUGUAUCACUGAAAGCUCUAUUAUCAGGUUUUUACGACAAAAGAUUUUAAAGCAGGA